UUAAAUUGAAGAGUUUGAUCAUGGCUCAGAUUGAACGCUGGCGGCAGGCCUAACACAUGCAAGUCGAACGGUAACAGGAAGCAGCUUGCUGUUUCGCUGACGAGUGGCGGACGGGUGAGUAAUGUCUG
This 128-nucleotide ribosomal RNA is filed under the name Shigella flexneri. RNAcentral's name for it is "partial 16S ribosomal RNA". It matches the Rfam family "Bacterial small subunit ribosomal RNA", at positions 1 to 119 of the family's 1533-position model. The record is from RNAcentral. Lineage: Bacteria; Pseudomonadati; Pseudomonadota; Gammaproteobacteria; Enterobacterales; Enterobacteriaceae.